Molecule: microRNA precursor, 101 nt
Organism: Anolis carolinensis (green anole)
Lineage: Eukaryota; Metazoa; Chordata; Lepidosauria; Squamata; Anolidae
Gene: aca-mir-124a-2
Product: aca-mir-124a-2
Source: Ensembl
CCCUCCCGGGCCCUUCUCUGCGUGUUCACAGCGGACCUUGAUUUAAUGUCCAUACAAUUAAGGCACGCGGUGAAUGCCAAGAGAGCGGCUCUCAAGACAUC